GGGUUUGAUCCUGGCUCAGGAUUAACGCUGGCGGCAUGCCUAACACAUGCAAGUCGAGUGUCCAAUGUUUUGCAUUGGUAGCACGGCGGACGGCUGAGUAACGCGUGGGUAUCUACCUUCAAGUUGAGGAUAAUCCCGGGAAACCGGGAAUAAUACUCAAUAGUUCCCUCCGGGGUAAAGAUUUAUCGCUUGAAGAGGAGCCUGCGUCCGAUUAGCUUGUUGGUGAGGUAACGGCUCACCAAGGCUCUGAUCGGUAGGGGACCUGAGAGGGUGACCCCCCAGACUGGGACUGAGAUACGGCCCAGACUCCUACGGGAGGCAGCAGUGGGGAAUUUUGCACAAUGGGCGAAAGCCUGAUGCAGCAAUGCCGCGUGGAGGAAGAAUGCCUUCGGGUUGUAAACUCCUUUUGUCUGUGAAGAUUAUGACGGUAGCAGACGAAUAAGAGCUUGCUAACUACGUGCCAGCAGCAGCGGUAAUACGUAGAGCUCAAGCGUUAUCCGGAUUGAUUGGGCGUAAAGGGUCCGCAGGCGGAUUUGUAAGUUCAACGUUAAAGACUCCAGCUCAACUGGAGGAAAGUGUUGGAAACUACAAGUCUAGAGGUCGGGAGAGGUUGAUGGAACUUCUGGAGUAGGGGUAAUAUCCGUAGAUACCAGAAGGAACACCCAAGGCGAAGGCAGUCAACUGGCCCGAUUCUGACGCUCAGGGACGAAAGCGUGGGGAGCGAACGGGAUUAGAUACCCCGGUAGUCCACGCCCUAAACGAUGGAUACUAGGCAUUGGUGGCAUCGACCCCCUCAGUGCCGAAGCUAACGCGUUAAGUAUCCCGCCUGGGGAGUACGGUCGCAAGACUAAAACUUAAAGGAAUUGACGGGGAGCCGCACAAGCGGUGGAGCAUGUGGUUUAAUUCGAUGCUAAGCGGAGCACCUCACCCAGACUUGACAUCCUGACGAAAGCUUGGUAGAAAUACUAGCCCUCCUUUUGGACGUCAGUGACAGGUGCUGCACGGUCGUCGUCAGCUCGUGUCGUGAGAUGUAUGGUUAAGUCCGAUAACGAGCGCAACCCCUAUGCUGUGUUGUAUUUUUCACAGUAGACUGCCGUGGUUAACACGGAGGAAGGUGGGGAUGACGUCAGAUCUGCGUGGCCCUUAUGUCUGGGGCAACACACGUGCUACAAUGGGCGGGUCACAAUGGGUUGCUAAGUCGCGAGACGGAGCUAAUCCCACCAAAACCGUCCUCAGUUCGGAUUGGAGGCUGCAACUCGCCUCCAUGAAGUUGGAAUCGCUAGUAACCGCAAAUCAGCUCGUUGCGGUGAAUACGUUCUCGGCUCUUGUACACACCGCCCGUCAUACCACGAAAGCGAGGGGCAUCCGAAGUCUCUAUUUAUAGGGCCUAAGGUGAAACUCGUGAUUGGGGUAAAGUCGUAACAAGGUAGCCG
This 1433-nucleotide ribosomal RNA is filed under the name uncultured bacterium. Its description in RNAcentral is "bacterial SSU rRNA". It matches the Rfam family "Bacterial small subunit ribosomal RNA". The record is from RNAcentral.